RNAcentral lists this ribosomal RNA (904 nucleotides) under uncultured bacterium. Its description in RNAcentral is "bacterial SSU rRNA". It matches the Rfam family "Bacterial small subunit ribosomal RNA", at positions 363 to 1248 of the family's 1533-position model. The record is from RNAcentral.
UUUUCGCCAUGCCCGAAAGGGUGACGAAGCGACGCCGCGUGUGGGAAGAAGGCCUUCGGGUUGUAAACCACUGUCGGGAGUUAGGAAAUGCAGGUGCGUUAAUAGCGCACUUGCUUGACUAAGGCUCCAGAGGAAGCCACGGCUAACUCUGUGCCAGCAGCCGCGGUAAUACAGAGGCGGCAAGCGUUGUUCGGAAUUAUUGGGCGUAAAGAGCACGUAGGCGGCCUUGCAAGUCAGUUGUGAAAGCCUUCCGCUUAACGGAAGAACGGCAUCUGAUACUACAGGGCUUGAGUACGGGAGGGGAGAGUGGAACUUCUGGUGGAGCGGUGAAAUGCGUAGAUAUCAGAAGGAACGCCGGCGGCGAAAGCGACUCUCUGGUCCGAAACUGACGCUGAGUGUGCGAAAGCUAGGGGAGCAAACGGGAUUAGAUACCCCGGUAGUCCUAGCCGUAAACGAUGGGCACUAAGUAGAGGGGUUUUGAUUAUUUCUCUGCCGGAGCUAACGCAUUAAGUGCCCCGCCUGGGGAGUACGGCCGCAAGGCUAAAACUCAAAAGAAUUGACGGGGGCUCGCACAAGCGGUGGAGCAUGUGGCUUAAUUCGAUGCAACGCGAAGAACCUUACCGGGGCUUGACAUGGUAGAAGUAGAAUCCUGGAAAGGGUGACGAUCGGUAUCCAGUCCAGAAGCUAUCACAGGUGUUGCAUGGCUGUCGUCAGCUCGUGUCGUGAGACGUUGGGUUAAGUCCCCUAACGAGCGAAACCCUUGUCUUUAGUUGCUAACGGGUAAUGCUGAGCACUUUAGAGAGACUGCCGUCGUUAAGACGGAGGAAGGUGGGGACGACGUCAAGUCAUCAUGGCCCUUAUGUCCCGGGCUGCACACGUGCUACAAUGGUCGGUACAAAGGGAU